This is a long non-coding RNA of Lates calcarifer (barramundi perch), 582 nucleotides long. RefSeq lists it as uncharacterized. Lineage: Eukaryota; Metazoa; Chordata; Actinopteri; Centropomidae. The transcript is spliced from 4 exons. The record is from RefSeq and is a predicted model, not a curated record.
UUUGUUGAGUGUAAGAGCCUUAGAGGAAGAGUGAGGUGCAAAAUGAGGGACAAGUUGUAGUGGGGAUUUUUUGUUUUGUUUUUUUAAUUUUUUUUUUUUCCAGGAAAAAGUUUGAAGAGAGCAGCAGAGUGAGAGGAGAGGGCUUGUAGAGGACAAGAAGGGAGGAGAGAGAUAGUGAGAGAGGGAGGGAGAGAGAGAGAGAGAGAGAGAGGGGAAGGGGAGAAAGACAAGAGAGACGCAGAGAGACAGACAGAUGGAGGAGAAGCAUGCAGCAGCAAAGAGGAGGAGAAACAAAGCGUGUUGACUGAGGAAGUGUGCAUGCCAUGCGGGCCAUGUGCUCAGACCCAGGAGCGCUGCACUCGAGGAAGGUGUCUGCAAAUCGGGCUGUUUUUCUUCUGCAACUUAGAGCUCCAACUGCUCUGCAAGACCAAAGAAUACAGCCUGAACUCUUCAUGAUGCACAUCGGUGAGGAGGCAGCAGAGACCGGCGACUGAGGGCUCCUGUCCUGCUGGUCUGUGAAUUCUGCACAGAUUUUUCCAGAAACACAAACAACCAUGUGUUUCCAAAGCCAUCCCCAGUGAA